GAUGAACGCUGGCGGCGUGCCUAAUACAUGCAAGUCGAGCGAACAGAUGAGGAGCUUGCUCCUCUGACGUUAGCGGCGGACGGGUGAGUAACACGUGGAUAACCUACCUAUAAGACUGGGAUAACUUCGGGAAACCGGAGCUAAUACCGGAUAAUAUAUUGAACCGCAUGGUUCAAUAGUGAAAGACGGUUUUGCUGUCACUUAUAGAUGGAUCCGCGCCGCAUUAGCUAGUUGGUAAGGUAACGGCUUACCAAGGCAACGAUGCGUAGCCGACCUGAGAGGGUGAACGGCCACACUGGGACUGGGACACGGUCCAGGGUCCUACGGGAGGUCGAAGUAGGGAAGCUUCCGCAAUGGGGGGAAUCCUGACGGAGGAACGCAGGGGGGGUGAAGAAAGGCUUCGGGUGGGAAAACUCUGUUAGUAGGGAAGAACAAAUGUGUAAGUAACGAUGCACGUCUUGACGGUACCUAAUCAGAAAGCCACGGCUAACUACGUG
Molecule: ribosomal RNA, 497 nt
Filed under: uncultured bacterium
Lineage: Bacteria
Description: partial 16S ribosomal RNA
Rfam family: Bacterial small subunit ribosomal RNA
Source: RNAcentral